AGAGUUUGAUCCUGGCUCAGAACGAACGCUGGCGGCAGGCUUAACACAUGCAAGUCGAACGAUCCCUUCGGGGAUAGUGGCAGACGGGUGAGUAACGCGUGGGAACCUACCUUUCGGUACGGGAUAGCUCCGGGAAACUGGAAUUAAUACCGUAUGCGCCCUUUGGGGGAAAGAUUUAUCGCCGAAAGAUGGGCCCGCGUUGGAUUAGCUAGUUGGUGGGGUAAAGGCCUACCAAGGCGACGAUCCAUAGCUGGUCUGAGAGGAUGAUCAGCCACACUGGGACUGAGACACGGCCCAGUCUCCUGCGGGAGGCAGCAGUGGGGAAUAUUGGACAAUGGGGGCAACCCUGAUCCAGCCAUGCCGCGUGAGUGAUGAAGGCCCUAGGGUUGUAAAGCUCUUUCAGCGAGGAGGAUAA
RNAcentral lists this ribosomal RNA (415 nucleotides) under alpha proteobacterium P669. RNAcentral's name for it is "bacterial SSU rRNA". It matches the Rfam family "Bacterial small subunit ribosomal RNA", at positions 8 to 451 of the family's 1533-position model. Lineage: Bacteria; Pseudomonadati; Pseudomonadota; Alphaproteobacteria. The record is from RNAcentral.